CAGCAGCCACGGUAAUACAGAGGGUGCAAGCGUUAAUCGGAAUUACUGGGCGUAAAGCGCGCGUAGGUGGUUUGUUAAGUUGGAUGUGAAAUCCCCGGGCUCAACCUGGGAACUGCAUCCAAAACUGGCAAGCUAGAGUAUGGUAGAGGGUGGUGGAAUUUCCUGUGUAGCGGUGAAAUGCGUAGAUAUAGGAAGGAACACCAGUGGCGAAGGCGACCACCUGGACUGAUACUGACACUGAGGUGCGAAAGCGUGGGGAGCAAACAGGAUUAGAUACCCCGGUAGUCCCUGUCUCUUAUAU
RNAcentral lists this ribosomal RNA (301 nucleotides) under uncultured bacterium. RNAcentral describes it as "partial 16S ribosomal RNA". It matches the Rfam family "Bacterial small subunit ribosomal RNA", at positions 509 to 809 of the family's 1533-position model. The record is from RNAcentral.